GCAUAUCAAUAAGCGGAGGAAAAGAAACCAACCGGGAUUGCUCCAGUAGCGGCGAGUGAAGCGGCAAGAGCUCAGAUUUGAAAUCGUGUUUCGGCACGAGUUGUAGAGUGUAGGCGGGAGUCUCUGUGGAGCGCGGUGUCCAAGUCCCUUGGAACAGGGUGCCUGAGAGGGUGAGAGCCCCGUAGGGUGCUGCGCGAAGCUUUUGAGGCCCUGCUGACGAGUCGAGUUGUUUGGGAAUGCAGCUCCAAGCGGGUGGUAAAUUCCAUCUAAGGCUAAAUAUUGGCGAGAGACCGAUAGCGAACAAGUACUGUGAAGGAAAGAUGAAAAGCACUUUGAAAAGAGAGUGAAACAGCACGUGAAAUUGUUGAAAGGGAAGGGUAUUGGGCUCGACAUGGGGGGUGCGCACCGCUGUCUCUUGUAGGCGGCGCUCUGGGCGCCCUCUGGGCCAGCAUCGGUUCCUGCUGCGGGAGAAGGGGCUCCGGAAAGUGGCUCUUCGGAGUGUUAUAGCCGGGGCCAGAUGCCGCGUGUGGGGACCGAGGACUGCGGCUUCUGUCUCGGAUGCUGGCAUAACGGCGCAAUACCGCCCGUCUU
This 591-nucleotide ribosomal RNA is filed under the name Pichia manshurica. RNAcentral's name for it is "eukaryotic LSU rRNA". It matches the Rfam family "Eukaryotic large subunit ribosomal RNA", at positions 38 to 655 of the family's 3401-position model. The record is from RNAcentral. Lineage: Eukaryota; Fungi; Ascomycota; Pichiomycetes; Pichiales; Pichiaceae.